Molecule: non-coding RNA, 104 nt
Organism: Acanthosepion pharaonis
Lineage: Eukaryota; Metazoa; Mollusca; Cephalopoda; Sepiida; Sepiidae
Source: the annotation of a GenBank genome assembly
UUACGGCCACAUCACGUUGCAACACCGGUUCUCGUACGAUCACGGAAGUUAAGCCACGUUGCGCCUGGUCGGUAGUUAAAUGGGUGACCGCGAGGGAAUACCAG